Molecule: ribosomal RNA, 254 nt
Filed under: uncultured bacterium
Lineage: Bacteria
Description: partial 16S ribosomal RNA
Rfam family: Bacterial small subunit ribosomal RNA
Source: RNAcentral
UACGAAGGGGGCGAGCGUUGUUCGGAUUUACUGGGCGUAAAGGGCGCGCAGGCGGCUUUGUUUGUCAGGCGUGAAAGCCCCGGGCUUAACCUGGGAACUGCGUUUGAUACGGCAGGGCUAGAGUUCGGGAGAGGAGAGUGGAAUUCCCAGUGUAGAGGUGAAAUUCGUAGAUAUUGGGAAGAACACCGGUGGCGAAGGCGGCUCUCUGGACCGAUACUGACGCUGAGGCGCGGAAAGCGUGGGGAGCAAACAGG